This 880-nucleotide long non-coding RNA is filed under the name Homo sapiens (human). RNAcentral's name for it is "non-protein coding lnc-ACKR3-5:4". The record is from RNAcentral. Lineage: Eukaryota; Metazoa; Chordata; Mammalia; Primates; Hominidae.
CACUCUGAAGAGCUGAUGCAGACUGGAGUCACAGCAGGAUCAUGAUCUUUUUUUUUUUAUAGUAUCUCAUUGUGGUUUUGAUUUGCAUUUCUCUAAUGACCAGUGAUAAUGAGCUUCUUUUCAUAUGUUUGUUGGCUGCUGCAUAAAUGUCUUUAAGAAUCCACUCUUCAGAGCUGAUUCCGACUGGAUUUUGGUCAGCCAUGAAGUGGUAUCUGACUGCAACACACUCUACUUCAAACAUAGUCAUGUUUUAGGAUGAGGCCAUCUUCAAGCCUGAGAUCCGUUUCUCAUAGAAAGUGUUUAUGCUGAAAGCAUAUGGGCCCUAAGAGUUCACUUCUCCUGCAGGCUUCACCAUGAAGACCCCCCCAGUUAUUGGCAAGUUCAUUCCACCUCCGCUUCCAACCCCCCUACACGACGGAAGGACGGGCCCAAUGUGACACUGUGUGAACUCUGAUUUCCUUUGGUAACAAAUACUUCUGUUAAAAUAUAUCCAGAUGUCAGCGCUAGAUGAUAAAUUUGAACAAACACAUUUUGGUUAAAUUAGUAUGAUUAUUUUGACUUUCCAGUGUUUACUUGGUUUGUUAAGCAUUUUUACUUCUCUCUACCAUUGAGGAAAGACAAGUGGGAUAAUUUAUUUUGAGGAAGGAAAACUCAAAGCUAUCACGUAUGUGAAAAAACAUGUGAGGUAUCUGAGUUGUUGAAAUCACGAUUGAUCCUAAUUGAUACUUACAAGUUAUAGAAAAUGUGGCAAUGGAUUGCCAAUCAAUAUUUAAAAACUGAAAACCUGUUGGUAGAUAACAUGGUUUCUCUAGGAAACAAACGGCUGCACUCCCAACAGAUUUGUAAAUAUCUCAUUGACUCAAAGCAAAGAAGUCAAUAA